This 394-nucleotide ribosomal RNA is filed under the name uncultured bacterium. RNAcentral describes it as "bacterial SSU rRNA". It matches the Rfam family "Bacterial small subunit ribosomal RNA", at positions 963 to 1357 of the family's 1533-position model. The record is from RNAcentral.
GAAGAACCUUACCUGGCCUUGACAUGCUGGGAACUUUGCAGAGAUGGCUUGGUGCCUUCGGGAACGCUGAGACAGGUGCUGCAUGGCUGUCGUCAGCUCGUGUCGUGAGAUGUUGGGUUAAGUCCCGUAACGAGCGCAACCCUUGUCCCUAGUUGCCAGCGAUUCGGGCGGGAACUCUAGGGAGACUGCCGGUGACAAACCGGAGGAAGGUGGGGAUGACGUCAGGUCAUCAUGGCCCUUAUGGUCAGGGCUACACACGUGCUACAAUGGAGCGCACAAAGGGUUGCCAACCCGCGAGGGGGAGCUAAUCCCAAAAAACCCGUCAUAGUCCGGAUUGCAGUCUGCAACUCGACUGCGUGAAGUCGGAAUCGCUAGUAAUCGAGAAUCAGAAUGG